RNAcentral lists this ribosomal RNA (1074 nucleotides) under Triticum aestivum (bread wheat). RNAcentral's name for it is "partial small subunit ribosomal RNA". Lineage: Eukaryota; Viridiplantae; Streptophyta; Magnoliopsida; Poales; Poaceae. The record is from RNAcentral.
AUGAUGCAGUACGCCAUGGAUCCCUACGCGGGCGCCUUUGCUCGACCUCCGCCAACCGGCUUCUUAGGCGUCGGAUCCUGUGCUCGGGCCGCCAACAGGCCUGCUCGUCGACCACCGCCUCCAGGCUUGUUCGGCAUCGGAUCUUGCUUCCGCCCGGCUGCCGACGUGCCAGCUCGUCGACCUCCGCCUCCCGGUUUCUUCGGUGCACGCCGUCCCAGGGUGCUCCCGCCAGCGCCGUGCGAGGUACCCAUGCCACCAAAGUUCUCAAAGCCCACGGCGCCGGCACCAGCGCCGGUUUCCUGCGUCGCCGCCGCCUCCACAAAGCUUCAGCGGCUGUGCCCUGACUACGCAGACGACAUCGACCACAACCUCCGGUUGACAGAGAAGAACGCCGAUGAGCGGCCGCUACCGGACUACCUGACGAAGGUGCAGCAGGAUCGGGUGACCGAGUCAGCGCGCGCCUCCCUCGUCGGAUGGAUGGACAAGUUCGCCCGAGACCAUGAUCUCGCCGACGGCACGCUCCACCACGCCGUCGCCUACGUCGACCGGGUCCUGUCGGUGCGAGCCUUGACGACUGACAGUGGCUACGAGCUACGACUCCUGGGUGCCGCGGCCGUCUUUGUCGCCGCCAAAUACGAGGACCGGAAAGCCGUGUGGAAGCUGAAGGCCGACCAGAUCGCCAGGUACGGCGAGUUCGCCGCGGGCAAGGAGGUGCUCGACAUGGAGCGCGAGAUGGUGGAGGCGCUCGGGUACCAACUCGGCGGCCCCACGGCGCACACCUUCCUGGGCCACUUCAUGAGGUACGCCGAGGGGGAGGACAAGACCAGGAUCCUGCCAUUGGCGACUCGCCUCGUUGAUCACUCUCUGCUCAACUACACGUGCCUCCGCAUCUUGCCGUCCGUCGUGGCGGCGUCCGCGAUCUUCCUCGCGAGGCGGACCCUGAAUCCGCCCGACGUCCUCGCGUGGAACACGGAGCUGACGGAGCUGACGGGUUACAACUGCUCGGACAUGACAGCCUGCGUGCUUAAUAUGUUCUUCUUCUCGCGCUCGCUCAUCUGUAGCCCUCCUUCUUGA